CAAAAAACGGUGAACGACGGCUGCAGGUAUCUUCCCAGCUUCAAUAGCUGAAGCCAAGUCCUUAGGCAAACUGUCCAAUGUUCUUUCAGCUUCAGCCAACGCCAGUAUUGCUUCUUUCUUGUUCCUUUCCUCUGCAUUAUCAUCAUAUUUAUCUCCACCUCCUCCUCCACUACCACCUCCUCCUCCAUCGAUGAUGUUACCGCCGCCACCGUGGUGAUUACUGAAUAUGGGGAAAGAAGUACGAGGAGGAGGGUGAUAUUGAGCAUUAAGAGAAAAAGUUGGAAAGUUGUUUGAGUAAGUGAGG
RNAcentral lists this long non-coding RNA (304 nucleotides) under Capsicum annuum. Its description in RNAcentral is "long non-coding RNA (CANN_LNC001410)". The record is from RNAcentral. Lineage: Eukaryota; Viridiplantae; Streptophyta; Magnoliopsida; Solanales; Solanaceae.